UAUUUAAAUAAAUUAUAUUUAAAUAAUAAUUAUAAAAUAGAUUUAUUAAAUUUUUACAAAAUAACACAACUAGAUACGUACGUUCACAACAUCAAAGCGAGUGAUGUUAUCCACUGAAUGCUGUUCACGAGAAUUGUUAACUGCAGGAGUGAAAAGUAUUACGGAAACAUGUAAUUUACUUUUAUAAGAGAUUAAUCAAGGAAGGGUUUUAUGGAUACAACCCUCCCUCCUCAAUUACGGAGAUUCAGGAAAAUUAUUAAAGAUAAUUAAAACUCUUUUCAAUUAUAAAAAGAACAACAUUAUGUGGUCACCAAAAUAUAAAUUUGAGGGGUCAUUGCGAUAUAGGUUACAUUAUAAACUACAACACUUCUGUAGUAAAUAAUAAAGGUAAUUUUAAAACUAACAGAUGCAAACAAAUUUUACAUUGAAAAACCAUCUAUAACAUUUGCUACAAGGUAUCAAAUUAUUUUUCGAUUGUAGUGGAUACAACCCAAAAUAUUUCCCGAUUGAAGCAAAUAUCGAUUUAAAAACAAUAACUUGUUUAACAAUGAUAUGAUAGAGCUUCGGCAAGAGUUGUCAGUACAAAAGUGUUCAAAAAUAUAUCUUAGGUGAGAUUUAACUUAAAAUACUACAUAAUUAAAUGAAUUUAAAGAAUGUAUACUGUUUCAAAAACCAUUAUUUCCUUAUUUUAAUACGUUUGGCGAUGAUGUAUAAAAUUAUGAAGAUUUUAAUGAUAAAUAAAUAACCCCGUGAUUAAAUUUCUUUAACUAUUUACAACGUUAUAUGUUAAGUUAGAUUAUAAAAGUAUAGAAAUGUAUAACUAAUCAUGCACCCCUUCACAAAAAAAACUUAUAUAUUUUUUUAUACUUGACUGAUAUUAAACAAAAUUA
This is a long non-coding RNA of Aphis gossypii (cotton aphid), 890 nucleotides long. RefSeq lists it as uncharacterized. Lineage: Eukaryota; Metazoa; Arthropoda; Insecta; Hemiptera; Aphididae. The transcript has 3 exons. The record is from RefSeq and is a predicted model, not a curated record.